UUGCCAGCCCGCUCAGAAACUACAAGGAAUUGAGGGGCCCGCACAAGCGGUGGAGUAUGUGGUUUAAUUCGAUGCAACGCGAAGAACCUUACCUGGUCUUGACAUCCCGGAGACCCUUAGGAAACUAGGGGGUGCUUCCAUCUGGAAGAAUCUGGAGACAGGUGCUGCAUGGCUGUCGUCAGCUCGUGUCGUGAGAUGUUGGGUUAAGUCCCGCAACGAGCGCAACCCUUGCCUUUAGUUGCCAGCAGUUCGGCUGGGCACUCUAAAGGGACUGCCGGUGUUAAACCGGAGGAAGGUGGGGAUGACGUCAAGUCCUCAUGGCCUUUAUGACCAGGGCUACACACGUACUACAAUGGCCGAUACAAAGGGCAGCGACACUGCGAGGUGAAGCCAAUCCCGUAAAAUCGGUCUCAGUCCGGAUUGGAGUCUGCAACUCGACUCCAUGAAGUUGGAAUCGCUAGUAAUCGUGGAUCAGCAUGCCACGGUGAAUACGUUCCCGGGCCUU
This 505-nucleotide ribosomal RNA is filed under the name uncultured Desulfobulbus sp. Its description in RNAcentral is "bacterial SSU rRNA". It matches the Rfam family "Bacterial small subunit ribosomal RNA", at positions 904 to 1382 of the family's 1533-position model. The record is from RNAcentral. Lineage: Bacteria; Pseudomonadati; Thermodesulfobacteriota; Desulfobulbia; Desulfobulbales; Desulfobulbaceae.